UACGGUUACCCUGUGAGUGCUGGACCCGCCAUUUGUUCGGCCAUUCCAACGCCAGCUGCCUGUAAAUCCUAACGUAACACGGACAGGACGUUAAUGAACGUGUGCUGCCUGCGCGCGCGCUGUCGAAUGAGAUUUUCUUGCACUAAUUAAGUGACUAAUACGAAAGCUAGCCCUCAUGCCCUCCAUAUUCAUUUACACAAUUGAUUUCAGC
Molecule: long non-coding RNA, 211 nt
Filed under: Elaeis guineensis (African oil palm)
Lineage: Eukaryota; Viridiplantae; Streptophyta; Magnoliopsida; Arecales; Arecaceae
Description: long non-coding RNA (EGUI_LNC044193)
Source: RNAcentral